UGAAGGGAGAACUGCGCCUAAAGUGAAUGCCAUGGCAGGCAAUGUGCUGAGGCUUGGGCCAUGUGGAACUGGAGGCAGCCAAGUCAUCAAAGAAGAUAGGACUUCGGCUCAUUCAGAAACCAUGUGAACUACGGCACAAGAGGCCCAGGGCACCGGAACAGCUGGCUGAAUAAACAGCUAAGCCUUUCAAACAUUGAAGUGUGUGCUAUCCCAAGGGGAGUAGUUUGAAGGGGAUUAGAGUUUUAGACCUCAAGGCAAAUAAAUGUAUUUUUUCCUUCCAAA
Molecule: long non-coding RNA, 282 nt
Organism: Ixodes scapularis (black-legged tick)
Lineage: Eukaryota; Metazoa; Arthropoda; Arachnida; Ixodida; Ixodidae
Exons: 2
Source: RefSeq, a predicted model, not a curated record